Molecule: long non-coding RNA, 317 nt
Filed under: Lathyrus oleraceus (garden pea)
Lineage: Eukaryota; Viridiplantae; Streptophyta; Magnoliopsida; Fabales; Fabaceae
Description: Pisum sativum (pea) long non-coding RNA (PSAT_LNC042214)
Source: RNAcentral
CAUCUGAUACAUGGAUUAUUCUUUUCUUAUUUGGCUUGCUUAAGGCUUAAUCCAAAGGAGGGAAUUCUUGUUUGACUUAUGUCAUAAAGUUUACUAUUUCUUGGUUAGAUCUUUCCUCCCUAGCUUUUACUCUAGGUUCUAGGAUAGUCUCUCCAUCUUCUCCCUUUCUUUAAUUUUCAAAAUAUUCUCUCUUCUUUUCAAAAUCUUUUUUUUUUUUUUAACUUGAACUACUUUCUCAAUAAACCUUGACUUUUGUCAAGUGUUUUUCAGAAUCUUUUUCUCAAUAAAUGGUAAUACAUCUUAAGCAUAUUCAAACA